CAUUUAUCUUCAAAUCAAACAAAAAUAUGAACAGAUUUUUGUCUGUAUGGCCAUCAGAUAAAAUAAAUGUUUUGAAGUAACUACGCCACAUUAAAUUUGUAAAAAUAAUAAUCCAACAAUGGGUUGUCUGAUUUGUUAGAAAAUUUCAGGGCAGAUAGAUCCUGACCUGAUACAUGUAUAGUUUAACCGAUGUAAGAUUAGCUCUCAAUGCUUUGGUUUCAGAGAUUUAAGCCAAAAUCUACAUUAUAUCCUAUCUUCUAUUUUUAGCCUCAGCUGCCAUCUUGGUUGCCGGAUGGGAUCAUUGACACAUUUUAUAAACUAGAUACGUGUAUCUUAAUGAUGAUUAUUGCCAAGUUUGGUUAAAUUU
Molecule: long non-coding RNA, 367 nt
Filed under: Mytilus galloprovincialis (Mediterranean mussel)
Lineage: Eukaryota; Metazoa; Mollusca; Bivalvia; Mytilida; Mytilidae
Source: RNAcentral